AGGCAACGGCCCGAAGGGCGAAGCGCGCAGCGCUGAGUCAUCCUUCCCCCACCACCA
Molecule: small RNA, 57 nt
Filed under: Salmonella enterica
Lineage: Bacteria; Pseudomonadati; Pseudomonadota; Gammaproteobacteria; Enterobacterales; Enterobacteriaceae
Also listed under: 1 other name
Description: partial RtT sRNA
Rfam family: RtT RNA
About the family: This family represents a bacterial cis-regulatory element known as RtT RNA. The exact function of RtT is unknown although it is thought that it may be involved in changing the cellular response in relation to amino acid starvation.
Source: RNAcentral